GGACGAAACGGGUUUUCACAGUGAUUAUCAGAUUGUGCAAUUUCUGAGAUCAUUGUGAAAGCUGAUUUUGUCU
Cordylochernes scorpioides is the source of this 73-nucleotide non-coding RNA. Lineage: Eukaryota; Metazoa; Arthropoda; Arachnida; Pseudoscorpiones; Chernetidae. The record is from the annotation of a GenBank genome assembly.